This 577-nucleotide ribosomal RNA is filed under the name Aspergillus sulphureus. RNAcentral describes it as "eukaryotic LSU rRNA". It matches the Rfam family "Eukaryotic large subunit ribosomal RNA", at positions 58 to 648 of the family's 3401-position model. Lineage: Eukaryota; Fungi; Ascomycota; Eurotiomycetes; Eurotiales; Aspergillaceae. The record is from RNAcentral. RNAcentral also lists the same sequence under 1 other name.
AAAGAAACCAACCGGGAUUGCCUCAGUAACGGCGAGUGAAGCGGCAAGAGCUCAAAUUUGAAAUCUGGCCCCCUCGGGGUCCGAGUUGUAAUUUGCAGAGGAUGCUUCGGGUGCGGCCCCCGUCUAAGUGCCCUGGAACGGGCCGUCAUAGAGGGUGAGAAUCCCGUCUGGGACGGGGUGUCCGCGUCCGUGUGAAGCUCCUUCGACGAGUCGAGUUGUUUGGGAAUGCAGCUCUAAAUGGGUGGUAAAUUUCAUCUAAAGCUAAAUACUGGCCGGAGACCGAUAGCGCACAAGUAGAGUGAUCGAAAGAUGAAAAGCACUUUGAAAAGAGAGUUAAAAAGCACGUGAAAUUGUUGAAAGGGAAGCGCUUGCGACCAGACUCGCCCGCGGGGUUCAGCCGGCAUUCGUGCCGGUGUACUUCCCCGCGGGCGGGCCAGCGUCGGUUUGGGCGGCCGGUCAAAGGCCUCCGGAAUGUAGUGCCCCUACGGGGGCACCUUAUAGCCGGGGGUGCAAUGCGGCCAGCCUGGACCGAGGAACGCGCUUCGGCACGGACGCUGGCAUAAUGGUUGCAAACGAC